AGAACCUGAACAAGGACGGCAGCGUUUCACCUGAGGAGAGGAACUUCAUGGACGGGAGCCAUUGGGAAUAUUAAAGGACGUUCACUCUCAGCAAGUUGACAUCAACAGUUGACACAAGAUCAAUGAGGAGUUCAGAAGAAUAACCACAGUUCAUCUGGAGCGAAACUUUUUGUCGAAAUUGGACAAUUGCACUACCAACUUUCUGGAGAUACUUGGGACAAAGGGCGGAGUUGCAGGAACAAAGACCCAUGCUGGAAUCACCCAGCCUGGUAAAGUUUAGAUAUCUAAUAUUAUAUAAAAUUAUGUUGGGCUCAUAUACACUGAGAAUAGAUGCAUGACAACGCAUUUUAAACA
This is a long non-coding RNA of Anarrhichthys ocellatus (wolf-eel), 354 nucleotides long. RefSeq lists it as uncharacterized. The transcript is spliced from 3 exons. The record is from RefSeq and is a predicted model, not a curated record. NCBI's taxonomy places the organism in Eukaryota, Metazoa, Chordata, Actinopteri, Perciformes, Anarhichadidae.